Molecule: ribosomal RNA, 636 nt
Filed under: uncultured bacterium
Lineage: Bacteria
Description: bacterial SSU rRNA
Rfam family: Bacterial small subunit ribosomal RNA (bases 1-534)
Source: RNAcentral
CCUACGGGAGGCAGCAGUAAGGAAUAUUGGUCAAUGGACGGAAGUCUGAACCAGCCAUGCCGCGUGCAGGAAGACGGCCCUACGGGUUGUAAACUGCUUUUGCAGGGGAAUAAACCCCGAUACGUGUAUCGGGCUGAAUGUACUCUGAGAAUAAGGAUCGGCUAACUCCGUGCCAGCAGCCGCGGUAAUACGGAGGAUCCAAGCGUUAUCCGGAUUUAUUGGGUUUAAAGGGUGCGUAGGUGGCCUGUUAAGUCAGGGGUGAAAGACGGUAGCUUAACUAUCGCAGUGCCCUUGAUACUGAUGGGCUUGAAUAAACUAGAGGUAGGCGGAAUGUGACAAGUAGCGGUGAAAUGCAUAGAUAUGUCACAGAACACCAAUUGCGAAGGCAGCUUACUAUGGUUUUAUUGACACUGAGGCACGAAAGCGUGGGGAUCAAACAGGAUUAGAUACCCUGGUAGUCCACGCCCUAAACGAUGAAUACUCGAUGUUGGCGAUAUACGGUCAGCGUCUAGACGAAGACGUAAGUUAGUUACCUACCGUACGGAAGGUACGGCCGCCGAACGGGUAGGUAAACGUUACGAAAGUAAGUUAAGUUAGUACGCGNGAGAGCGACGACGACGACGACGGAGGAGGAGG